AUUGAACGCUGGCGGCAGGCUUAACACAUGCAAGUCGAGCGGGCGAGGUUGCUUCGGUAACCUAGCUAGCGGCGGACGGGUGAGUAAUGCUUAGGAAUCUGCCUAUUAGUGGGGGACAACAUUCCGAAAGGGAUGCUAAUACCGCAUACGUCCUACGGGAGAAAGCAGGGGCUCUUUAUGACCUUGCGCUAAUAGAUGAGCCUAAGUCGGAUUAGCUAGUUGGUGGGGUAAAGGCCUACCAAGGCGACGAUCUGUAGCGGGUCUGAGAGGAUGAUCCGCCACACUGGGACUGAGACACGGCCCAGACUCCUACGGGAGGCAGCAGUGGGGAAUAUUGGACAAUGGGGGGAACCCUGAUCCAGCCAUGCCGCGUGUGUGAAGAAGGCCUUUUGGUUGUAAAGCACUUUAAGUGGGGAGGAGGCUUACCUGGUUAAUACCUGGGCUAAGUGGACGUUACCCACAGAAUAAGCACCGGCUAACUCUGUGCCAGCAGCCGCAGUAA
Molecule: ribosomal RNA, 502 nt
Filed under: uncultured bacterium
Lineage: Bacteria
Description: partial 16S ribosomal RNA
Rfam family: Bacterial small subunit ribosomal RNA
Source: RNAcentral